Molecule: long non-coding RNA, 935 nt
Organism: Melospiza melodia melodia
Lineage: Eukaryota; Metazoa; Chordata; Aves; Passeriformes; Passerellidae
Exons: 6
Source: RefSeq, a predicted model, not a curated record
GCUGUAAAUUCCAUGGGUGCUGCGGUGCUGAUCAGUGGCUCUUGGUGGUUUGGGUGGGAAUGAUGCUCUGCAGUUGACCAGCGAGCUCAGCCAGAAACUGGAUAAAUGAACUUGAAAUAACCUUUGAAGUGAUCACCCUGGAAGGAACAGAGCGUUCCCUGUGAAAAGGCACUGAAGUCAGUUCAUGAGCUGCACACUUUUGGCUUCCCACUUCCCACAGGAGCACAUCAGAAGACAAGGUCUCCCUCCAUCUCUGGCAGCAGCAGAGCUGGCUUGAGAGGCCAAAACUGCACCUGAGCAGGCAGGAAAGCCACCUCAUCUUCAAACAACCUGCUAGAAACUGCAGCUGCCCAGAGAAUUAACUCUGCCCAGGGCUGAUGCACCAGAAGCUGCAAGGGGAGCAAGGCACCAGGGUGUUCCCCUGUGUUAUUUCAAUGUAUUCCCACCAGCCUGGUUUAUAUUGAGCAGCACUGAUGCUCAUCUCAAGAUGCACAUGGCAAGAUCUGUUACCAUGUGGACAUUGCAGGAAAACCAAAGUUUCAGAAUUGAAAGGGAGGUCAUCAGAGAACUGCCAAUAACACAGAACAGCCAAGAAGACAAAGAAAUUCUCUGCUGUGGUUAAAGGAGCAAUUUUAAUUCCUUUUCUCUCUGUAGAACAGGAUAAGUACAAAAAGCUUUGCUUGUGAACACUUUUAAACCAAAAUUUUUAAAGUAUCACAGAAAGAUAAAGUAAUCAAUACAUCCCUCAGGAAAUUAUCCCAUCUGGUUCCAGCACACAUGAAAUUAAUUCAGACCUGUAACACCUCCCAUACACCAGUUUAACAUUAUUCCAGAAAGGAGUUUAAUGAUCCACAAUAAUCAACCAUUAAACAUUCUGCACUGGAGCUUCCCAAGCCACAAGAAUUUAUUCUUUUGAAUUGGUCUGCCUAACAUCA